Molecule: unclassified non-coding RNA, 3550 nt
Filed under: Homalodisca vitripennis (glassy-winged sharpshooter)
Lineage: Eukaryota; Metazoa; Arthropoda; Insecta; Hemiptera; Cicadellidae
Description: sperm-associated antigen 1-like, transcript variant X3
Source: RNAcentral
CUGAAGAAUGAGGAACAUUGGGAAAGGAACAAGAAAUCAAGGAAGGUUCCAGUAAUUUAGUUAUAGUGCAUUUUUUUGUAGUAAUAGACAUGAGUUUAAAUUUUAGACAUUAAUUCGCGGGCAUGUUAAAUAUUUUGAAGCAACGUGUGAAUAAUUUUCUAAUCGCUGGACUUUCUAUUAAGUAAAUUAAAGGUAUGCUCGAAGAAAAAGGGAUGAUUGAUAAACCUAACCCCACUUUGAAACUUGCUGGCUUCGGCUAUGAAGAUUAUAUUAGGUCUUGCAAGGAUGAAAAAGAACUUGGAAAAAUGAUUUACAUUCCCAGAGCAAACAAAGAAUGGACUUUUCUGAACAUUGAGGACAAACCUGAUAAUACAUUUUUGGGGUUUAGUUCAAACACACAGCCAAGCCCAACAGAGUCUAUAAAUUCGUUAAAUAGCAUGAACUCCGGUGAUUGGGUGAACAAGCAGGAUGAUGGUGUGUUAUGGAAUAAUGCAAUAUGCAUCAACGAAUUAAAAUUAAAUGAAGGAAACAACAAUAAUGAUGGACCUAUACCUACUGGACAUUCCCUCCGGGACAUGGAAAUGACUAUAAAGAAGGUGGCGGAGAAGAACAAAACUUGCACAGCACAAUAUGAAAAAAGUGACAACACACUACAGGGUAAACUUCAUGCUGACUCAGAAUUGAUGAAGAUGCAAUUAGAAAAAAAAGUACAAGAACAAGAGAAGGUAGAAAAGCAGAAGAGAGAGAGAGAAAGCAUGAGGGAUAAAGAAGAAAAGAAGAGGCAGAUGUGGCAAAUGGAAAUCAAUAGGUUGAAUGCUGUCAUCAAACAUGCAGAACAUCUUUCAGACUCUGAGCGGCAGCUUUUGGCGGAACGAGAAAAAGAAAUUGGUAAUCAAUGUUAUCGCCAGAAAGAAUAUGAUGAUGCCAUAGAAUACUACACGGCAUCAAUCAGGAUAUUUCCAACACCGAAGGCAUUCAAUAAUAGAGCUGCAUGCUACUUGAAACAAUGCAAAUAUGCAGCUGCUUUAGAUGAUGCUAACAAAACUCUAGAAUUGGACCCGUAUAACAUCAAAGCUUUGUUUCGACGAGGAGUUGCUUUGAAUCACAAAAAUGAAUUCAAAAGGGCUCUCGAUGAUAUAAAGGCUGUACUUAUGAAACAGCCCAAACAUGUCCUCGCUCAGCACAUGUAUAGAGAACUGCGUGAGCAGAUUAACUUGUUACCCAAGAGUAUUAGGGUGAUGAAUGAUGACGGGUUCAAUAACCCAAAGAGAGUUGUGGAGUUAAGACCAGAGGAAAUCAUCAAAAUCCGCUUGAACCGAAGGUGCUAUGAGGUCAAUGAACGAAACCUGCCUAGAGUGAUGUGUGAGUGUUCUGGCUCACCAAAAUUCCUUCAUUCCCUGCAAAGAAAGGCCCAUGUGGUGGCCCCUUUCCAAACUCCAGCUCCAUCCAUGCCUAGCACUUCAAGAAUUCUUGAGGCUGUGGAUGAACCUCAAUUAUCCAAGCCACCAACAAAAACUGAGAGAACUGGAUUAGAAAUAACUGAACAUAAUAAUGACUCUUUUAAACCAAAAAAAUGUGCUGUUGUUAGAGAUCGGACUCUGCUAAAACCACCAUGUAAUAAUAAUGAUAUUAGUGACAACCAACUGUCUACACAAUGUACAUCCACCAGAGAAUCUCCACCAAAUUCAGCAAGUACGGAAUCUGCUGGUUACUAUACCGCAGAAGAAGAGGACAUUGAAAAUGUGUCAAAUUAAAAUGAUGCUAAUGAUACAGUACUCUGUUAGAUUUGAACAAUUUUCAUCAUAGGUGCCACAACGGAAAGUUGGAAAAACUACUACUAAGAGAAAAACAUUGUUGUCAUAGUAAAAUUUGUUUCAUGUUCUUUUUUUUAAAGUUAAAACAAAAUUAUUUUUAAUAGUGACACUUAUAAAAUUCCAAUGUAACCCCAUUUUCCUAUAUAUGAAUUGAAUAUACGAUUUUAUGUUUAAAACUACGUUUUUGAUGUUCUACACAUUUCAAGUUGCUGCUUUAAAUAAAAUAAAAUACAAUACUUGGCAGUUUAAUUUGAUUGAAUUUCAUUCUCUAAUAGGAUAGUGAGUAGUUAUGCAUUAUACAGACCACACUUUGUUUAUGUUUAUGUACAAUGUAAAAAUGAGGAAAUAAUAAGAAAAUAGCAGAUUAGUAGUGGAUUUUGUUUAAAUUAAUUUUGUUCAUUUAUUAAAUUAAUGGAGUCUGUGGUUAUGUAUGUUUGAAUGUAUUUAUUACCCUAAAGUAUUGAGUGUGAGAUCAUGAAUUCCUCCCCAUGAAGUAAGUGUGGAUGGUAUAAUGCAUAAGUACCUAAUAAUGUUUAUAGUAUUUGUUUUGUAGUUAUAUUUUUGUUUAAAUUUUGUGACAUAAUUGAGUAUGCUUUAUGGUUCCUACUUAUUUUCAUUCUUAUUGAACCAUCUAUUAUUACAGUUACACAGUUGUACCCAUUGUACCCAGAGGACAUUGAAAAUGUGUCAAAUUAAAAUUAUGCUAAUGAUACAGUACUCUGUUAGAUUUGAACAAUUUUCAUCAUAGGUGCCACAACGGAAAGUUGGAAAAACUACUACUAAGAGAAAAACAUUAUUGUCAUAUUAAAGUUUGUUUCAUGUUGUUUUUUUUUAAGGGAAAACAAGAUUAUUUUUAAUAGUGACACAUAAAAUUCCAAUGUAACCCCAUUUUCCUAUAUAUUACUUGAUUUUAUGUUUAAAACUAGGUUUUUGAUGUUCUACACAUUUCAAGUUGCUGCUUUAAAUAAAAUAAAAUACAAUACUUGGCAGUUUAAUUUGAUUGAAUUUCAUUCUCUAAUAGGAUAGUGAGUAGUUAUGCAUUAUACAGACCACACUUUGUUUAUGUUUAUGUACAAUGUAAAAAUGAGGAAAUAAUAAGAAAAUAGCAGAUUAGUAGUGGAUUUUGUUUAAAUUAAUUUUGUUCAUUUAUUAAAUUAAUGGAGUCUGUGGUUAUGUAUGUUUGAAUGUAUUUAUUACCCUAAAGUAUUGAGUGUGAGAUCAUGAAUUCCUCCCCAUGAAGUAAGUGUGGAUGGUAUAAUGCAUAAGUACCUAAUAAUGUUUAUAGUAUUUGUUUUGUAGUUAUAUUUUUGUUUAAAUUUUGUGACAUAAUUGAGUAUGCUUUAUGGUUCCUACUUAUUUUCAUUCUUAUUGAACCAUCUAUUAUUACAGUUACACAGUUGUACCCAUUGUACCCAGAGGACAUUGAAAAUGUGUCAAAUUAAAAUUAUGCUAAUGAUACAGUACUCUGUUAGAUUUGAACAAUUUUCAUCAUAGGUGCCACAACGGAAAGUUGGAAAAACUACUACUAAGAGAAAAACAUUAUUGUCAUAUUAAAGUUUGUUUCAUGUUGUUUUUUUUUUUUUAAGGGAAAACAAGAUUAUUUUUAAUAGUGACACAUAAAAUUCCAAUGUAACCCCAUUUUCCUAUAUAUUACUUGAUUUUAUGUUUAAAACUAGGUUUUUGAUGUUCUACACAUUUCAAGUUGCUGCUUUAAAUAAAAUAAAAUACAAUACUUA